AACGCGAAGAACCUUACCAGCUCUUGACAUGUCCGGUAUGGGGCCGAGAGAUCGGUUCCUUCAGUUCGGCUGGCCGGAACACAGGUGCUGCAUGGCUGUCGUCAGCUCGUGUCGUGAGAUGUUGGGUUAAGUCCCGCAACGAGCGCAACCCUCAUCCUCAGUUGCCAUCAUUCAGUUGGGCACUCCGGUGAGACCGCCUCGGAUAACGGGGAGGAAGGCGGGGAUGACGUCAAGUCCUCAUGGCCUUUAUGUCCAGGGCUACACACGUGCUACAAUGGCCGGUACAAACCGUCGCAAACCCGCGAGGGGGAGCUAAUCGGAAAAAGCCGGCCUCAGUUCGGAUCGCAGUCUGCAACUCGACUGCGUGAAGCUGGAAUCGCUAGUAAUCGCGGAUCAGAACGCCGCGGUGAAUACGUUCCCGGGCCUUGUACACACCGCGCAUA
This 443-nucleotide ribosomal RNA is filed under the name uncultured bacterium. RNAcentral describes it as "bacterial SSU rRNA". It matches the Rfam family "Bacterial small subunit ribosomal RNA", at positions 958 to 1398 of the family's 1533-position model. The record is from RNAcentral.